Molecule: non-coding RNA, 179 nt
Filed under: Limisphaerales bacterium
Lineage: Bacteria; Pseudomonadati; Verrucomicrobiota; Verrucomicrobiia; Limisphaerales
Description: Verrucomicrobia subdivision 3 bacterium (hot springs metagenome) 6S RNA
Rfam family: 6S / SsrS RNA
About the family: E. coli 6S RNA was the first non coding RNA to be sequenced, but its function was unknown until recently. It consists of 184 nucleotides that fold into an extended hairpin structure with a large single-stranded internal bulge.
Source: RNAcentral
UUUACCCUGCCCUGCUCGUGACCAGAAACAAAGUCCUUGAACGGUAAUCACACAAAAAGGGGCCUUGACUUCGGUGGUGGCCGACAGGCCUUAACUGGAAGUCGAAAGCCAUCGAUUGGGCUCCACCUGUAUCUGGCAGUUCAGAGGAACUGUUUACUCACGGCAAGGGUGGGGUUUUU